RNAcentral lists this ribosomal RNA (301 nucleotides) under uncultured bacterium. RNAcentral describes it as "partial 16S ribosomal RNA". It matches the Rfam family "Bacterial small subunit ribosomal RNA", at positions 509 to 807 of the family's 1533-position model. The record is from RNAcentral.
CAGUAGCCGCGGUAAUACUGAGGGUGCGAGCGUUAAUCGGAUUUACUGGGCGUAAAGCGUGCGUAGGCGGCUUCUUAAGUCGGAUGUGAAAUCCCUGAGCUUAACUUAGGAAUUGCAUUCGAUACUGGGAAGCUAGAGUAUGGGAGAGGAUGGUAGAAUUCCAGGUGUAGCGGUGAAAUGCGUAGAGAUCUGGAGGAAUACCGAUGGCGAAGGCAGCCAUCUGGCCUAAUACUGACGCUGAGGUACGAAAGCAUGGGGAGCAAACAGGAUUAGAGACCCCUGUAGUCCCUGUCUCUUAUAC